This 249-nucleotide ribosomal RNA is filed under the name uncultured bacterium. RNAcentral describes it as "partial 16S ribosomal RNA". It matches the Rfam family "Bacterial small subunit ribosomal RNA", at positions 524 to 775 of the family's 1533-position model. The record is from RNAcentral.
UACGAAGGGGGCUAGCGUUGCUCGGAAUUACUGGGCGUAAAGCGCACGUAGGCGGCUUUCUAAGUCGGGGGUGAAAUCCUGGAGCUCAACUCCAGAACUGCCUUCGAUACUGGAGCUUGAGUCGGGAGAGGUGAGUGGAACUGCGAGUGUAGAGGUGAAAUUCGUAGAUAUUCGCAAGAACACCAGUGGCGAAGGCGGCUCACUGGCCCGGUACUGACGCUGAGGUGCGAAAGCGUGGGGAGCAACAGG